RNAcentral lists this ribosomal RNA (497 nucleotides) under uncultured bacterium. RNAcentral's name for it is "partial 16S ribosomal RNA". It matches the Rfam family "Bacterial small subunit ribosomal RNA", at positions 28 to 507 of the family's 1533-position model. The record is from RNAcentral.
GAUGAACGCUGGCGGCGUGCCUAAUACAUGCAAGUCGAGCGAACAGACGAGGAGCUUGCUCCUCUGACGUUAGCGGCGGACGGGUGAGUAACACGUGGAUAACCUACUUAUAAGACUGGUAUAACUUCGGGACACCGGAGCUAAUACCGUAUAAUAUAUUGAACCGCAUGGUUCAAUAGUGAAAGACGGUGUUUCUGUCACUUCUAGAUGGAUCUGCGCCGCAUUAGCUAGUUGGUAAGGUAACGGCCUACCAAGGCAACGAUGCGUAGCCGACCUGACAGGGUGGUCGGCCACACUGGAACUGAGACAGGGUCCAGAGUCCUACGGGAGGCAGCAGUAGGGAAUCUGACGCAAUGGGCGAAAGCUUGACGGAGCAACGCGGCGUGAGAGAUGACGGUCUUCGGAUCGGAAAGCUCUGUUAUUAGGGAAGAACAACUGUGUAAGUAACUAUGCACGUAUUGACGGUACCUAAUCAGAAAGCAACGGCUAACUACGUG